Molecule: ribosomal RNA, 242 nt
Filed under: uncultured bacterium
Lineage: Bacteria
Also listed under: 1 other name
Description: partial 16S ribosomal RNA
Rfam family: Bacterial small subunit ribosomal RNA
Source: RNAcentral
CGCACAGUAAACGAUGAAUACUCGCUGUUGGCGAUAGACAGUCAGCGGCCAAGCGAAAGCAUUAAGUAUUCCACCUGGGGAGUACGCCGGCAACGGUGAAACUCAAAGGAAUUGACGGGGGCCCGCACAAGCGGAGGAACAUGUGGUUUAAUUCGAUGAUACGCGAGGAACCUUACCCGGGCUUGAAUUGCAGGUGCAUGAUGCAGAGAUGUGUCUUUCCUUCGGGACUCCUGUGAAGGUGC